This 250-nucleotide ribosomal RNA is filed under the name uncultured bacterium. Its description in RNAcentral is "partial 16S ribosomal RNA". It matches the Rfam family "Bacterial small subunit ribosomal RNA", at positions 524 to 773 of the family's 1533-position model. The record is from RNAcentral.
UACAGAGGGUGCAAGCGUUGUUCGGAAUUAUUGGGCGUAAAGGGAGUGUAGGCUGUGAGGUAAGUCUUCUGUGAAAUCUACGGGCUUAGCCUGUAAAGUGCAGAGGAAACUGCUUCGCUUGAGUGUCGGAGAGGAUAGGGGAAUACCCGGUGUAGAGGUGAAAUUCGUAGAGAUCGGGUGGAACACCAGUGGCGAAGGCGCCUAUCUGGCUGACAACUGACGCUGAGACUCGAAAGCAUGGGGAGCAAAC